This 216-nucleotide non-coding RNA is filed under the name Staphylococcus caprae M23864:W1. RNAcentral describes it as "glmS glucosamine-6-phosphate activated ribozyme". It matches the Rfam family "glmS glucosamine-6-phosphate activated ribozyme aptamer". From Rfam's summary of the family: This entry contains a glucosamine-6-phosphate activated ribozyme that is found in the mRNA for GlmS. GlmS is an enzyme that uses fructose-6-phosphate and glutamine to generate glucosamine-6-phosphate. The record is from RNAcentral. Lineage: Bacteria; Bacillati; Bacillota; Bacilli; Caryophanales; Staphylococcaceae.
UAAAUAAUUAUAGCGCCUGUGCAAAAUGACUAAGUGAUCAUCGACGAUUAAAAGUUAAUUAGGAGAACUUUUAUAGAGGAUGAUUUAGCUUUUGUAGACGAGGAGGAUAGUGAUCGAAUAGAUCGGCGGAUGCUAUCCCGGAUGUGGCUCAUUCGUUAGCUUAUUAAGUAAAACACCAGGGUAACUUGGUGGACAAAGUUAAUAAGAUCGCCAAAU